UCUUAGCCUCUUCUCAUGUUUUUGUAUUCUUUUCUAUGUGCCCUUCAAUUUGGUUUACUUCCCAUUACUUGUCUUCCAGUUGCUGAUCCAUUCUUCUGGCACCUCUAAUAUGCUGUUAAUCCCCUCUAGUGUAUUUUUAUUUUGGUUAUUGAAUUCUUCAGUUCUGACUGGUUCUCUUUUAUAUUUUCUAUCUCUUUGCUGAAGUUUUCACUGAGUCUUUCCACUCAUUUCUCAAGUCUGGUAGGUCAGCUACAACCCCUGGUCUUGGAUCUAGUGCCCUGUGUAGAAGUACUGUUGCCUGACGUACAAUAACCACUGUCACCAGAACCAGACAACUGAUGAAAUCUGUAGAUAUCCAGAGACAGACCUGGAGAAUGAAGAAAGCAAGAGACACUAGACCAGCUGUGGCCUUGAAGGAAGACCUUCCUUCCAGUGAGGUGGGGAGAACACAGAGCCAAGAUGGAUGCUCCAAAAACAGUGAUAAAGAGGAGGUGGUGGUGCUGCAGAACACAAGUGGUGUGUACCCUGGGAAGUGGCACACCAUGAAACAGCUCUGUGUUUUGCUUGCCUCUCUUUUAAUGCGAGUCUUGCCCUGAAAUAUGAUACUCUGUUAUAACCAGCUGUUCUUUAUUAAUAUUUUGAGAGAGAAAAAUUAUAAGUAGAUGAUUUUAUAGGUGACAGAUUGGGUUUCAUGGAAUGAAAGGAUAUCCUAGCCUCA
Molecule: long non-coding RNA, 718 nt
Organism: Canis lupus familiaris (dog)
Lineage: Eukaryota; Metazoa; Chordata; Mammalia; Carnivora; Canidae
Exons: 3
Source: RefSeq, a predicted model, not a curated record